RNAcentral lists this ribosomal RNA (389 nucleotides) under uncultured bacterium. Its description in RNAcentral is "bacterial SSU rRNA". It matches the Rfam family "Bacterial small subunit ribosomal RNA", at positions 29 to 417 of the family's 1533-position model. The record is from RNAcentral.
AGUGAACGCUGGCGGCAUGCCUAACACAUGCAAGUCGAACGGUAACAGGCCCGCAAGGGUGCUGACGAGUGGCGGACGGGUGAGGAAUACAUCGGAAUUUGCCCAGUCGUGGGGGAUAACGUAGGGAAACUUACGCUAAUACCGCAUACGACCUAACGGUGAAAGCGGGGGACUCGCAAGAGCCUCGCGCGGAUGGAUAAGCCGAUGUCGGAUUAGCUAGUUGGCGGGGUAAGAGCCCACCAAGGCGACGAUCCGUAGCUGGUCUGAGAGGAUGAUCAGCCACACUGGGACUGAGACACGGCCCAGACUCCUACGGGAGGCAGCAGUGGGGAAUAUUGGACAAUGGGGGCAACCCUGAUCCAGCAAUGCCGCGUGUGUGAAGAAGGCCU